GACAUAGGUGGCAAACGUUAUCCGGAAUUAUUGGGCGUAAAGGGUGCGUAGGUGGUUCAAUAAGUUACUGGUGGCAAAUCGGGGCCCAACCCCGUGGAAGUCAGUAAUACUAUUAAACUAGAGGAUCGGAGAGGUUAAUGGAAUUCUAUGUGUAGCGGUAAAAUGCUCAAAUAUAUAGAGGAACACCAAACGGCGAAGGCAGUUAACUAUUCGGUUCCUGACAUUGAGGCACGAAAGCGUGGGGAGCAAGACGG
Molecule: ribosomal RNA, 254 nt
Filed under: uncultured bacterium
Lineage: Bacteria
Description: partial 16S ribosomal RNA
Rfam family: Bacterial small subunit ribosomal RNA
Source: RNAcentral